Molecule: long non-coding RNA, 1853 nt
Organism: Neopelma chrysocephalum (saffron-crested tyrant-manakin)
Lineage: Eukaryota; Metazoa; Chordata; Aves; Passeriformes; Pipridae
Exons: 2
Source: RefSeq, a predicted model, not a curated record
GACCUCCCUGGACCCCCCUCCAGGGACUGCGCUGGCCAACGAGGUGUCCCACGGACCAGUGCUGCUCCCUGGGGACACUGGAUCCUGCCGUCUUGCUGUGAUGGUUUCUCCAACACUUCCCCUCUCCCGCUCACAGCUCUAACACGCCUGUGGUCAUGAACUGCUGCCAAGCCAGCUGGGAACUGGAGCCAGCAGCCUUGGAGCAGGCGCGAAGCAUCCGUGGGCCUGAGCUGAAUGAGAAGGGGAGCACAAUCCAGCAGGUGUUUUCAACAUCCAGCCUCUCACUGUUUGUGCUGUACAGAGUUCUCCCUCCUGACAGUGUUCUUCUCAAGGAGACAGUCACAUCUGGCACCGAUCCCCGGCGGGUCUUGGCAGCUGGAUUCGCAGCACAGGUGAUGCAGAGCCCAGGGCUCCUCAUGGUCAAGGUCUGUUUUACUUGCAACCACAAAAAAUCAGUGUCUUUCCCCCACCAUUGGCUUGCUAAGACAAGAUGCUGUGGUCAUUCUCUGUCAUUCUCCUGCUGGGGCUUUUCAAACCGUGUGCUAAGUCCCAGCUCCAGUGCAGUCUCCUGAGGGGGACUGGGGCAUUUCAUGGAUUGGAUUCCUUAGGACUAGAUCCCUCUCACCGCCCCUCUUGUGGAACAGAGAGAGAAAACACAAUAUGCUGUCAGGAAAUAAUGCCAAGCAUAUGCCACACAGCAGGAGGUGUCAAAAGAUGCUCCCUUCAACCUCACAGGCAGCUGUGUGCCUUCUGCAUUAGCCAUGCAGAGAAAAUUACUCAAGCAAUUUGAUGUGGGUAUUUCAUAGCCCUUUAUUUCCGGGGGCAGGUUUCACCUACAGCAAAGGUGCCUCUGCAAGUGAGGCAAGGAGAACAGCUAUGCCUGUUCUCUGGUAGCUCCUCCCCAUUUUGUAUAAGAGAUACCAGUGUUUCCCAGUAAGAAGUGCCAUUCUUACCUACAGGGUUGCUAGUGCUAGAUUUAAAAUGAAUAUUAAAUAUCUAUUAACCUGGGUGGGUUUAGGGCUUUUUUUUUUUUUUCUUUUUUUGCCAGAUUUUUUUGUUUUAAACAGCUCUCUUUUUGGCAGACAGGGAAGUGUCUUACACUUUCUCCACAGCUUGCCUGGUGGUAGCUUCACAGGAAUGCUGAAGGAUACAGUGGAGUGCUUGGCUGGACCUGGGCUGGACCAGCCUGUGAUUCCAUAUAUUAUCCUGCACCUGCUGCAGAGCAAGUCAUGGACCUCCUCCCUUCAUCCCAUGCUCCUGAAGAAAUGUGUGUGUCCACUGAGGUUCCCAGCACUCCCCUGUAGCUGUGAGCCACAAAAGCUUUGAAUGUGCAGGACGCUGUCAAUGAGCUGUAAAAGGGGGUGAGCUCUGAAGAUGCACGUGUCAAUGGCACAUUUCUGCACCUAUUUUUGUCUGCUCCUUGGAGAAGACAUGUAUCUUUCCUCUUCAACAAGUGCUGUGCUCCUCUGCGCAAAACCCAGGGUGGAUAUCUGUUCCUGGGAGGAUGCAAAGGCACAUCCCACCUGAAGGUGACAGCUCAGUGUUGGGGAAAUGAUUCUCUGCUGGAAGUGCCUGCCUGUUGGACACAGCAGAAUUUUCAAGGGGGUGGGUGUUGCAUCAUAUAUUGGAGGUUGACUUUUAGCUGGAUGUAUAAAUCUUGGCCUUCCCAAGGCCCGGGUCUUCCCUGGGACCGCUGCUCUGUCUCUUUGCAUUUCUGGGGAGAGGAAACUGCAGCUCACCUCUCCGCAAGCACAAAUUAGUUGGGUUUUGUUGCUUUGUGGGUUAGUGGUUUUUUUUUUACUUUUUUGGGGUUUUGCAUGUUCAGUUUGAACAAUAAAACAUCUGUUCCUGAG